AUUGAACGCUGGCGGCAGGCCUAACACAUGCAAGUCGAACGGUAACAGGAAACAGCUUGCUGUUUCGCUGACGAGUGGCGGACGGGUGAGUAAUGUCUGGGAAACUGCCUGAUGGAGGGGGAUAACUACUGGAAACGGUAGCUAAUACCGCAUAACGUCGCAAGACCAUAGAGGGGGACCUUCGGGCCUCUUGCCAUCGGAUGUGCCCAGAUGGGAUUAGCUAGUAGGUGGGGUAACGGCUCACCUAGGCGACGAUCCCUAGCUGGUCUGAGAGGAUGACCAGCCACACUGGAACUGAGACACGGUCCAGACUCCUACGGGAGGCAGCAGUGGGGAAUAUUGCACAAUGGGCGCAAGCCUGAUGCAGCCAUGCCGCGUGUAUGAAGAAGGCCUUCGGGUUGUAAAGUACUUUCAGCGGGGAGGAAGGGAGUAAAGUUAAUACCUUUACUCAUUGACGUUACCCGCAGAAGAAGCACCGGCUAACUCCGUG
This 490-nucleotide ribosomal RNA is filed under the name uncultured bacterium. RNAcentral's name for it is "partial 16S ribosomal RNA". It matches the Rfam family "Bacterial small subunit ribosomal RNA", at positions 30 to 507 of the family's 1533-position model. The record is from RNAcentral.